AAUUCUCAACCCUCUUCACUUUUGUUGGAGCAAGGGCUUGGACUUGGAGGCUUUGCCGGCCCGUUCGGCUCCUCUCAAAUGCAUCAGUAUGUCUUGUUGCGACGUGCGCCUCGGUGUGAUAAUUAUCUACGCUGUGGUGUGGCCGCUUCUGUUGAGACAGGCUUUCAAACCGUCCGAAAGGACAAUUCAUCAAA
Molecule: unclassified non-coding RNA, 194 nt
Filed under: uncultured Tremella
Lineage: Eukaryota; Fungi; Basidiomycota; Tremellomycetes; Tremellales; Tremellaceae
Description: sequence contains ITS2
Source: RNAcentral